GGUGUUUACCCUACAAAUUUAAGGUAAAUAUAAAAAACGAGUCGACUCGCAAGAGUUAACUCCAACUUUUUUGAAACAAAGGCUGCGGGGAAUCCGUGGCUUGA
Molecule: unclassified non-coding RNA, 104 nt
Filed under: Prionchulus punctatus
Lineage: Eukaryota; Metazoa; Nematoda; Enoplea; Mononchida; Mononchidae
Description: trans-spliced leader sequence SL2
Source: RNAcentral